CCUCACUGUUUGGUGUAAGUGUGGUAGAAUAUGAAACCCAUUGCACUGAACAGUGGGGCU
RNAcentral lists this microRNA precursor (60 nucleotides) under Ptychodera flava. RNAcentral describes it as "Pfl-Mir-4818-P2_pre stem-loop". The record is from RNAcentral. Lineage: Eukaryota; Metazoa; Hemichordata; Enteropneusta; Ptychoderidae.